CUGUCCACCAAGUAGGAAAGACAACUGAAAUUCUACUGGGUUAGGAUGGAUAGCCUCCAUUGUGUUACUCUGGACAUGCCCACACUGCUGACCAGGAAGAAGUCUGCUUGCCUGUCAGAAAGAUGUGGAAAUGUGCUGGCAUUCCAGCUGAAGACAUCAUUAUGAGUGAGAAAAUGCUCAAGGCUUUUUCAAAGUGGGUGCUGAAACAUACGUUUCUCUUCUUUGACUCCAGGGGAUGCUAACAGCUGCCCCAGCAGACAGGUACCGCAAGGUCAAAGGCUAGCAGAGCUGUGCACCUCCAGAAUUUGACUGCCAGCAAAGUAGACGGGUAGUUUCUCAAAACUAAUAAUAAAAAUAGCAACAGUGAUGAGAAAAAGAAGGAACUGACAACAAAAAUGAAAAUAAACCUGCAGGAAGUGAAUUCUGGGAAGCAUAACACUUGGCAGAGCUGAUUUUAAUAUCUGACAGGUUGAGUUCACUAAUCUUUGCUAUUCAUAUUGACGUGAAACUUCAUACAGUUUUAGAGAUUUGUAUCUAUUAAGACAUGCAGCAGUGUUCCUACAACAUGGGAACAAGUUUGCUAGCACCUACUGUUCUUCUUCCCUGAUAAAAAUUUGUAUGAGCUGUUUUAAAUGCCUAACAGAUAAUUACUCUGAACAAUCAAUAAAGAAAGCUGCAUCUUUAGGGCCUCCUUUAUCUUUAAAAAAUAAUAAAAAAACCCACCAAGCCUCAGACCCACCAACAAGACAAAACAACAUUCUUCCCUCCAUCUUCCCCCCUCUCUUUUGUUUCUUUGAUUACUUGGAGCCUUGUAAUCAAACUAAGCUUCGUUUCAGGACCCUUGGGGCAGUAUCUUUUAGUUCCCUGUCAGACUGCGUUGCAAAACAAUCAAUCUUGCUCUUGCACUCACUUGGCGGAAGUGCUGCGACACGAAGAGUGCCGUGCUUUGCUCUUGCUGUGAAGCUUCGAUGACAAAAGUUUUUAUCAGAAGCUGACUGUAUUUAGGGUUAUGAAUAUGCAAUGACUCUCAUUAGUAUUGAAGCGCAGGAGCACAGGCUGACAUCCCCCGCCACUUUUAGCUGCUGCAGAAUCGUCUAAUGAAUUGUCUUGCUCUUUCACUUGCACAGGCGCUGCUGUUAUGGCUCCCUGUUCCAAGGGGAGUUGCCCAGUUUGAGAAUACUGUUGACUGCAGAAAUUAAUUGCCAGGAACUGCUCUUGAUUUUGUUAAACAAUGUUGAGACAGUGUUUAAAUUGCCAAAACAGAAAACCAUUAAGCUCUGCACAAGACAGAGCCAUCAUGAAUGAAGGAACAUGUGUGUCAGCGUGCCAGGCUUUGCGUGCAGUCUUGUGGUCACACCUGCACAAUUGAAGAUGUCUGUAUGCCAGUGGAGGGUCUCAGAGACCUGUCUUCACAUUGAUUUAUUUACUGUCCUUCCAGCUAGAACAAUUAAGAUAAGGCGGGGGAUAAGGCAGAGUUCUUCAAAUGAGCAGGAUUCCAAUACACUGCUGUUUGAUCAACCUGUUAAUGCUCUCUUCUUUUCCUCUGGGACACUGUCAAACAUUUUUCAGUUCACACAUCUGCAAUCUUUUUAUGAAUAAAGCACUGAUAAGAAUGUUGCCAACAAAUGAUUAAGAUAUCUGGCUUGAUUUGUAGUAUUGGAGGAGAUGUGAAAGCUUUCAGAAAAAAGUGGAAAUGCCCCUUUUUCCCAAUUGGUUAAAUUAAGUUUUUUUUUUUCCUAUUCAUCUGAAAUUUCUCCUGACAUAAAAGGAUCUUUUGUGGCUCUCCGCAGAUUGUGAAGGAUGGAGUGAAUUGAAAUAGAUAAUGUAUUCCAAGAAGCGUAAGUAGCAUUCUGAAAGAUGUGUGCAUACUGCAAGUAAUGAAGGAUAUGAGGUUCUCCCAAGAAGAUGUCAGCCCUGUGCAGCUCUUUAUCCAUUCAAUCAGUAAUGGAAAUGGUCCCAGUGCAAGCAGGAGGAUCUGUUUAAUUUUUACUGCGAUUUUUGGCACUGCUGCUCUAAAGUGAGCUUAGGUUACCUCUUGACCCAACCCCAGGAGUGCCUGUUCUCGUCAGCUGGAGAAAAAAUAAACAUAAAAAACAUCUACAUGUUGGGAGUAUCAAAUACAAAAGCAGUUUAAAAUAAAUGCAGUUCUGACAAAAGUGGCUCAAGUGUCAUACAUCAAACACUUGUUACCUCUCUUGGCCUUAGUGAUUGCACGUGACUAAGAAAGAGUGAGUGAUAAAAUCCGAAGAAAGAUGAAACCAAUCUGGGCCUUUUUAAAGAUCAUCAAUCAUUCUGCGCAGCCAUGAUAUUAUUAGUUCCAGUAAGCCUUGUUCUCCCAUUUUAUGGACAUCAUAAACCCCCACCCUUCUACCAAUGCUACCAUGGGAAAUCACUUUUAUGGGCAGCAUCUUAGCAUGGGCCAAUCAGAUCUAAUCACAUAACAAGCUACUGAAUUAUUCAACGUCCUCCCUAAUUCUGCAUUCUUCCUGCACUUUGCUGUCACUGCAGGGUUUUAAAAGUAUGUGAUUUUACAAUAUUUAUUAAGAAGAUAACUGUACACAGGAAUUUUGCUUUCUCGAUGUCUUUCAAUAAUUGUUUGUUCCCUUAGAUGGUUGUACUAUAUACACUUCUGUAUAGAGAAUAUUUUCUCAGAAAAGAACAGCUAUUCAUAAUGUGGCAUUCAGCUCUAAACUCUUUCGGCUUUUAAAAUACUGAGCGUAAGGACAAUAGUGAAACAAUUGUGUUCAAACAUAAAAUAUUCAGAUUUACAGAGCAAACUGUAACCAGCAUGUCUCUUAGCUGUUGCUAUGAAUACAGGGCUCACAUUGUAUAUGAAAAUAUUUCAGUUUUAAUUGCAAAUCUGUGCAGAGAUGAUUUGGGGUCUGUAAUUAGCACAUAAAUUCCAGACUUUGUGACUGCUGUGAAAACACACAUUAUUUAUGGAACGAUUAUCUAAACAUAAUUCAGUGUUUUUUUGCUUUCAACAGCUACUGUAAAAGUCUGAUUUAAUAAAAUGUGAAAAAUUU
This is a long non-coding RNA of Tympanuchus pallidicinctus (lesser prairie-chicken), 3026 nucleotides long. RefSeq lists it as uncharacterized. The record is from RefSeq and is a predicted model, not a curated record. The transcript has 2 exons. Lineage: Eukaryota; Metazoa; Chordata; Aves; Galliformes; Phasianidae.